Bolinopsis microptera is the source of this 2292-nucleotide long non-coding RNA. RefSeq lists it as uncharacterized. NCBI's taxonomy places the organism in Eukaryota, Metazoa, Ctenophora, Tentaculata, Lobata, Bolinopsidae. The transcript is spliced from 2 exons. The record is from RefSeq and is a predicted model, not a curated record.
AGGUACUCUCCAAAGUUAUGGGCUGUUACAGAGUGAAACCAACAAGUAUUUUAUGUGUUGUGCUAUUCAUCUUCUACCUAUGUAUGAUUGACAUAAAGUUCAUGCUAAAAGGUGAAUAUGCUUCAAAGGUUUUGAUGUCCAAUUGCCAGGAACCCAAAAAAACACAUCAUUUGUCCAUCACUACUUUAACCAGAAACUCUGCCUCAUUUAUCAAAGAGUGGUUAGAAUAUCACCUAUUGAUUGGUGUGGAUCACUUCUACAUUUUAGACAAUGAAUCAGGAGAUGGUUUGUAUAGUGUACUUAAACCAUACAUUGAAAAAAAGACUGUGACAUACAUUCCAUGGAAAGAUGACUCAUAUCGUGAUGCUCAACUGAAGAUGUCUUUGAACACACAGCAGAAAGGUUUAGUGUAUGCUCUGAGUUUAUAUGGUUGCAAAUCUGAUUGGAUAGCUUUGAUAGAUGAUGAUGAAUUCAUAUUGCCUAAAGGAAAUAGAACUUUGAAAGAUAUCUUGAAUGAUUAUACUGAUUAUGGUGGUCUUGCUCUAGGUUGGGCAUGGUUUGGUAGUAAUGGACACAUAAGUAAACCUGAUAACAAUUUGGUGGUAGAGACAUUCACUAAAAGAAGAGCAGAUCUGGAUAUUCUUUACAAGACCAUUAUUCAGCCCAAAUAUUUCCGAAGAAUGAAGACCAUUCAUUAUCCUGUACUGGAGUCCGGAUAUCCAUUAGUCACUGAACAUUUCAACAUCGUAUCCACGAUUCCAGAACAUGUCAAGAAGUUUGCUUACAAAUUGAAUGACCCUACUAAUGACUUUAUACAGUUGAAUUACUACAAAGUGAAAAGCCAGGAGGAAUGGCUAGAAAGAACUCAGAAAGACGUUGUUGCUGAUGGACACUGGAGGAAAAAUCUAGAUGAUUUUUAUAACAAUGAUUUUAAUGAGGUUGAUGACAAUGAUAUCCUGAAAUUCUUACCUGAUCUCAAAAAAAGGCUGUCAAUUACUGAAGCAUGAUCGAGGCAUAAAAUAACACAGGAUAAAUUUAAAGUUGAAUUCAUCAAUUGUAUUUUAGAAUAAUGAUAUAGAUAUCAUAUAAUGCAUGUUAUUGAGCUGUUUUUUUUAUACACACGUCAAAACACAAUUAAAGUGAAAUAUAAGUAUUAGAUUCAUUCAUAUUUUUACCUACCAUUGCUUGAUCACAAUGAUUUGGAUAUAAUACAUAUCACGUGAUUAUUUUAAGUAUGUAACAAAGUGUAAAUAAGUUGGAGGAAUGGACUCUUCCCGGACUCAACCUUUUUGAGUGCCGCUUCAUUCCAAAUUCAUUAAUAUUAUACAUUUAAAGAGAAAGUGUUUCUCAGAACUGUUGGGCACAACCUUAGUCAAAUCUAUGGCGACCUUCCUCCCAUUGCCUUCAUCCUAGCACAACGAUGCAGGCCACUGUAUGAGGUCCAAGGAUUAGGCCAUCUCAACAAUCCUACCCUGGCACCUCCCACAAGUUGGCUGCGAUAAAAGACAUAGAUCUAUAUACUGUAGCUUGAGAUACAGAAGUUGAUAUCGGUGAUCUACAGCAUACAUGGUGUGCUAUGCUCGAUUGUGUUAUCUGGAGGAAAUCGAUCGAGGAUUGCCCAAAGUUAAGUUAUUACAUACUGUUUAUUGCAUCUGUUUUUGUUCAUCCUUAAAUAAUAUGUGAGUGAACUCACAUUGCUUUUCGACAAUUACACAGCCUGCAUCAAUCUUCUGUUUUAAUUUUUUUUCAGAUGAACCUCCACUAAAACCUAAAUACUAUGUUAUAUCUGGCAUAUUUACAGUUGCAUGCUUGAAUACCUUUAAAAUAGUUGAAAUAGUUACAUCAUCUUUGAUAUCUUUUUAAGUUCGGCAAUUUAUUUUAGUAUCAAAUUGCUUUAGUUCACUUUAAGAUAUUUGAAGUAACUUUAUGUAUGAUACUUCAUCUAUCAUAUCUUUCUUAAGCUGGGCUUAUUAUGAUUUAUUUUGCUAUCAAAUAGCUUAAGUUCACUUUCAGAUGUUUGAAGUAGUUCCAACAUCUUUCAUAUCUUUAUUAAGCUUAUUAUAAUUUAUUUUGAUAUCAAAUUGGUUUUUUCAAGAUGUCAUGUUUUCUGUUUGUUAGAUGAUAGCAAUACAGGAGCAGACUAUGUGAACGCAGAUAAAAUUUAAGGAUAUUUGUUGAUAUUUCCAAUUGUUAUUUGUUCUGAUGAUACAUUGAUACAUGCAAUAUACUAUAUUUGUUUCGUACAAUAUAUUUGUUCUUGUUUUAUUCAGGAAUUUUCAAAUUGCUUUUUCA